GGGAGCGUGGCCGAGAGGUUUAAGGCGUCAGGAUCAGAUUUAUUGUGGGGAUUGUUUUCUCAAAACCCCGCAAUGGUUUCAGAGCAACCUGAUUUUCUCCAUGAGAUUCCCUGGGUUCGAACCCCAGCGCUCCCA
This 135-nucleotide transfer RNA is filed under the name Brettanomyces bruxellensis. Its description in RNAcentral is "tRNA-Leu". It matches the Rfam family "tRNA". Rfam says of the family: Transfer RNA (tRNA) molecules are approximately 80 nucleotides in length. Their secondary structure includes four short double-helical elements and three loops (D, anti-codon, and T loops). The record is from RNAcentral. Lineage: Eukaryota; Fungi; Ascomycota; Pichiomycetes; Pichiales; Pichiaceae.